Long non-coding RNA from Arachis ipaensis, 943 nucleotides. RefSeq lists it as uncharacterized. The record is from RefSeq and is a predicted model, not a curated record. Lineage: Eukaryota; Viridiplantae; Streptophyta; Magnoliopsida; Fabales; Fabaceae.
AUUCAUUUGUUUCAAGAGAGAGAGAGAGCGCUCCAGACUUGAGAAGAGAUAGAAGAGAAGCUAUUCCACCUUCAAAUAUACUUUUUUCACAAACCGGAGUUUCGAUUGACGACCUGUUUGCGGCUAUGCAUCGCUCUUAACUCUCUCUACGUUUCUAUACCACUUUUGCUGUGAGUAAUCACGGAAACUCUACCCUAUUUCUCUAUUUCUCUCAAUUUUUGUGUUUUGGAUAUGUGAGUGUUAAAAUUGGUGAUUUUAAUGCAUUAAGAGAAACUCAAGCUCAAUUUCUAGCGGGAUUUUGACCUAUGAUCAUUUAGAGUAAGAUAUAGGAACUAUUUCCCUCUUUUCUUCUAAUUUGUAUGAGAAUCUAGUAUGAAAAAUAUGAAAUUUUGAAUGAAAUUAGAUUGAGUAUAGUUGCUUGGUUGCUUGGCUUGGUUGGAGGUGAUUGAGGCUUGACUUGGUCGGGAAAGGAGAUUCAAGAGGUUGGAACCGCCGUCAAUUAAGAUGUGAGAAAACAGAAAAGUGGAGGUUUCAAAAUCUAAGUUAAGGAUUCAAGCACAACUUUAAGAGGCAAUGCAAGACCAUGAGGAUCUAACAAAGCAAAUAGAUGUGCUAAAAAAAAAACUUGAAGAGCAACGAACACGGCAAGAGGAAGAAUUAGCUCAAAUGAAAGUUCAAUUGGAAGCUCAACAAGCCGUUGUGAACUCUUUCAUAGUGCGCUUUGACAAUGAAAGAAACUAGACCCUAAAGAAGUGCUGAAAUGAUGACCACAUGCUACCUUGAGGGCUCAAGAAUAUUUUGAUUCAUAAAGUCACUGAUCUAUGUUAGAACUUUUAACUUUUGAUUGAACUUAUGCAAGACAUAUAACUUGUAGAACUAAUCAAUGUACUCACUAAGAUUAUUUUGUUUUAAAAUAAUUUUAGCUAAAUGAGGCAUGUUUGAA